AUACAGAGGGUGCAAGCGUUGUUCGGAAUUAUUGGGCGUAAAGCGCAUGUAGGCGGCUUGGUAAGUCGGAUGUGAAAGCCCGGGGCUCAACCCCGGAAUUGCAUUCGAAACUACCUCGCUAGAGUCUCGGAGAGGAGGGCGGAAUUCCCGGUGUAGAGGUGAAAUUCGUAGAUAUCUGGAGGAACACCAGUGGCGAAGGCGGCCCUCUGGACGAUGACUGACGCUCAGAUGCGAAAGCGUGGGGAGCAAACAGGAUUAGAAACCCCGGUAGUCC
This 274-nucleotide ribosomal RNA is filed under the name uncultured bacterium. RNAcentral describes it as "partial 16S ribosomal RNA". It matches the Rfam family "Bacterial small subunit ribosomal RNA", at positions 523 to 796 of the family's 1533-position model. The record is from RNAcentral.